GAGAAGUGGAAGAGUCACUGUGCACUCUCUUA
RNAcentral lists this non-coding RNA (32 nucleotides) under Homo sapiens (human). The record is from RNAcentral. Lineage: Eukaryota; Metazoa; Chordata; Mammalia; Primates; Hominidae.